UGAUUGGUAAGGAUACUACCACACAGACAAUGUCCUUUGUAGUUCCAUCAACUGGUGAGGUGAAGGUUGCAAUGGCUGUAAAUUCAGGAACUCCAAGAGAUUCUAAUACUCAGCCAGGAAAGAAGUUAUGCAAAUAUUGCAAGAAGGAAGGGCAUAUACUAGAAGAUUGUACGAAGUUAAAGUGGAAGAAACAACAAGAACAAAAAUGUCAAUGUAGGAAAUGUUGCUACUCC
RNAcentral lists this long non-coding RNA (233 nucleotides) under Linum usitatissimum (flax). RNAcentral describes it as "long non-coding RNA (LUSI_LNC005880)". Lineage: Eukaryota; Viridiplantae; Streptophyta; Magnoliopsida; Malpighiales; Linaceae. The record is from RNAcentral.